RNAcentral lists this unclassified non-coding RNA (2398 nucleotides) under uncultured Clostridium sp. RNAcentral describes it as "partial contains 16S ribosomal RNA, 16S-23S ribosomal RNA intergenic spacer, and 23S ribosomal RNA". The stretch from base 1 to 1486 matches the Rfam family "Bacterial small subunit ribosomal RNA". The record is from RNAcentral. Lineage: Bacteria; Bacillati; Bacillota; Clostridia; Eubacteriales; Clostridiaceae.
GAUGAACGCUGGCGGCGUGCUUAACACAUGCAAGUCGAGCGAUGAAGUUUCCUUCGGGAAACGGAUUAGCGGCGGACGGGUGAGUAACACGUGGGUAACCUGCCUCAUAGAGUGGAAUAGCCUUCCGAAAGGAAGAUUAAUACCGCAUAACGUUGAAAGAUGGCAUCAUCAUUCAACCAAAGGAGCAAUCCGCUAUGAGAUGGACCCGCGGCGCAUUAGCUAGUUGGUGGGGUAACGGCCUACCAAGGCGACGAUGCGUAGCCGACCUGAGAGGGUGAUCGGCCACAUUGGGACUGAGACACGGCCCAGACUCCUACGGGAGGCAGCAGUGGGGAAUAUUGCACAAUGGGGGAAACCCUGAUGCAGCAACGCCGCGUGAGUGAUGAAGGUUUUCGGAUCGUAAAGCUCUGUCUUUGGGGAAGAUAAUGACGGUACCCAAGGAGGAAGCCACGGCUAACUACGUGCCAGCAGCCGCGGUAAUACGUAGGUGGCGAGCGUUAUCCGGAUUUACUGGGCGUAAAGGGAGCGUAGGCGGAUGAUUAAGUGGGAUGUGAAAUACCCGGGCUCAACUUGGGUGCUGCAUUCCAAACUGGUUAUCUAGAGUGCAGGAGAGGAGAGUGGAAUUCCUAGUGUAGCGGUGAAAUGCGUAGAGAUUAGGAAGAACACCAGUGGCGAAGGCGACUCUCUGGACUGUAACUGACGCUGAGGCUCGAAAGCGUGGGGAGCAAACAGGAUUAGAUACCCUGGUAGUCCACGCCGUAAACGAUGAAUACUAGGUGUGGGAGUUUCAACACCUCCGUGCCGCCGCUAACGCAUUAAGUAUUCCGCCUGGGGAGUACGGUCGCAAGAUUAAAACUCAAAGGAAUUGACGGGGACCCGCACAAGUAGCGGAGCAUGUGGUUUAAUUCGAAGCAACGCGAAGAACCUUACCUACACUUGACAUCCCUUGCAUUACUCUUAAUCGAGGAAAUCCCUUCGGGGACAAGGUGACAGGUGGUGCAUGGUUGUCGUCAGCUCGUGUCGUGAGAUGUUGGGUUAAGUCCCGCAACGAGCGCAACCCUUGUCGUUAGUUACUACCAUUAAGUUGAGGACUCUAGCGAGACUGCCUGGGUUAACCAGGAGGAAGGUGGGGAUGACGUCAAAUCAUCAUGCCCCUUAUGUGUAGGGCUACACACGUGCUACAAUGGCUGGUACAGAGAGAUGCAAUACCGCGAGGUGGAGCCAAACUUAAAAACCAGUCUCAGUUCGGAUUGUAGGCUGAAACUCGCCUACAUGAAGCUGGAGUUACUAGUAAUCGCGAAUCAGAAUGUCGCGGUGAAUACGUUCCCGGGUCUUGUACACACCGCCCGUCACACCAUGAGAGUUGGCAAUACCCGAAGUCCGUGAGCUAACCGCAAGGAGGCAGCGGCCGAAGGUAGGGUCAGCGAUUGGGGUGAAGUCGUAACAAGGUAGCCGUAGGAGAACCUGCGGCUGGAUCACCUCCUUUCUAAGGAAUAUAUCUUAGGACAACUAAGAUGACAAUGAAUUCUGGAUAAUAUCUCUGUUUAAUUUUGAGAGACUAAGUUCGACAAAAUACUACAAAAAAAGUAUUGACAACGAAAAAGUUUCUUGAUAAAAUAAUAUGCGUUGUGAGAGCAACGAUUAAAUAUGGGGGUAUAGCUCAGUUGGGAGAGCACCUGCCUUGCACGCAGGGGGUCAGGAGUUCGAAUCUCCUUACCUCCACCAUAUGUGGGUCUAUAGCUCAGGUGGUUAGAGCGCACGCCUGAUAAGCGUGAGGUCGAUGGUUCGAGUCCAUUUAGACCCACCAUUGUUCUUUGAAAAUUGCACAUAAAUUAAUAUAGAAACAACAAGCCAAAUUGGCAAAACCAAUUUCUAUUCUUUGUAAAAUGAGAACUAUAACUAAUAUAGGUCAAGCUACAAAGGGCGCAUGGUGAAUGCCUUGGCAUCAGGAGCCGAUGAAGGACGUGAUAAGCUGCGAUAAGCUUCGGGUAGGCGCACAUAGCCUGAGAUCCGAAGAUCUCCGAAUGAGGAAACUCACAUGGGAAACCCCAUGUAUCAUUAAGUGAAUACAUAGCUUAAUGAAGGUAACCCAGGGAACUGAAACAUCUAAGUACCUGGAGGAAGAGAAAGAAAAAUCGAUUUUCUUAGUAGCGGCGAGCGAAAGGGAAAGAGCCCAAACCGGAAACUUGUUUCCGGGGUUGAGGACAUAACAUUAAAGAGAAGUAAUGGCUAAUUGAAGAGAACUGGAAAGUUCCACCGUAGAAGGUAAUAGUCCUGUAAAUGAAAGCUAGUAUAAUCGAGUUAUGAUCCAGAGUACCACGAGACACGUGAAACCUUGUGGGAAGCAGGGAGGACCACCUCCCAAGGCUAAAUACUACCUGAUGACCGAUAGUGAAGC